CAAGCGGUGGAGCAUGUGGUUUAAUUCGAUGCAACGCGAAGAACCUUACCUACUCUUGACACCCACGGAAUUCGGCAGAGAUGCCUUAGUGCCUUCGGGAACCGUGAGACAGGUGCUGCAUGGCUGUCGUCAGCUCGUGUUGUGAAAUGUUGGGUUAAGUCCCGCAACGAGCGCAACCCUUAUCCUUUGUUGCCAGCGAUACGGUCGGGGACUCAAAGGAGACUGCCGGUGAUAAACCGGAGGAAGGUGGGGAUGACGUCAAGUCAUCAUGGCCCUUACGAGUAGGGCUACACACGUGCUACAAUGGCGCAUACAAAGAGAAGCGACCUCGCGAGAGCAAGCGGACCUCAGAAAGUGCGUCGUAGUCCGGAUCGGAGUCUGCAACUCGACUCCGUGAAGUCGGAAUCGCUAGUAAUCGUGGAUCAGAAUGCCACGGUGAAUACGUUCCCGGGCCUUGUACACACC
RNAcentral lists this ribosomal RNA (465 nucleotides) under uncultured bacterium. RNAcentral's name for it is "bacterial SSU rRNA". It matches the Rfam family "Bacterial small subunit ribosomal RNA", at positions 926 to 1391 of the family's 1533-position model. The record is from RNAcentral.